RNAcentral lists this ribosomal RNA (483 nucleotides) under uncultured bacterium. Its description in RNAcentral is "partial 16S ribosomal RNA". It matches the Rfam family "Bacterial small subunit ribosomal RNA", at positions 30 to 506 of the family's 1533-position model. The record is from RNAcentral.
AUUGAACGCUGGCGGCAGGCCUAACACAUGCAAGUCGAGCGGAUGAAGGGAGCUUGCUCCUGGAUUCAGCGGCGGACGGGUGAGUAAUGCCUAGGAAUCUGCCUGGUAGUGGGGGAUAACGUCCGGAAACGGGCGCUAAUACCGCAUACGUCCUGAGGGAGAAAGUGGGGGAUCUUCGGACCUCACGCUAUCAGAUGAGCCUAGGUCGGAUUAGCUAGUUGGUGGGGUAAAGGCCUACCAAGGCGACGAUCCGUAACUGGUCUGAGAGGAUGAUUAGUCACACUGGAACUGAGACACGGUCCAGACUCCUACGGGAGGCAGCAGUGGGGAAUAUUGGACAAUGGGCGAAAGCCUGAGCCAGCCAUGCCGCGUGUGUGAAGAAGGUCUUCGGAUUGUAAAGCACUUUAAGUUGGGAGGAAGGGCAGUAAGUUAAUACCUUGCUGUUUGGACGUUACCAACAGAAUAAGCACCGGCUAACUUCGU